AUUGAACGCUGGCGGCAGGCCUAACACAUGAAAGUCGAGCGAGCGGCGGACGGGUGAGUAAUGUCUGGGGACUGCCCGAUAGAGGGGGAUAACUCCUGGAAACGGUGGCUAAUACAGCAUACUGGCGGACCAACCACAUGGGAUUAGCUCGUAGGUAAGGAACUGGCUUACCUAGGCGACGAUCACUAGCUGGUAUGAGAGGAUGAUCAGCCACACUGGGCCGUAGACACGGCCCAGACUCCUACGGAGUCAUCAGUGGGGAAUAUUGCACAAUGGGCGCAAGCCUGAUGCAGCCAUGCCGCGUGUAUGAAGAAGGCCCUAGGGUUGUAAAGUACUUUCAGUCGGGAGGCGUUACCGACAGAAGAAGCACCGGCUAACUCCGUGCCAGCAGCCGCGGUAAUUC
RNAcentral lists this ribosomal RNA (403 nucleotides) under uncultured bacterium. RNAcentral's name for it is "partial 16S ribosomal RNA". It matches the Rfam family "Bacterial small subunit ribosomal RNA", at positions 30 to 526 of the family's 1533-position model. The record is from RNAcentral.